RNAcentral lists this transfer RNA (74 nucleotides) under Otolemur garnettii (small-eared galago). It matches the Rfam family "tRNA". From Rfam's summary of the family: Transfer RNA (tRNA) molecules are approximately 80 nucleotides in length. Their secondary structure includes four short double-helical elements and three loops (D, anti-codon, and T loops). Further hydrogen bonds mediate the characteristic L-shaped molecular structure. tRNAs have two regions of fundamental functional importance: the anti-codon, which is responsible for specific mRNA codon recognition, and the 3' end, to which the tRNAs corresponding amino acid is attached (by aminoacyl-tRNA synthetases). tRNAs cope with the degeneracy of the genetic code in two manners: having more than one tRNA (with a specific anti-codon) for a particular amino acid; and 'wobble' base-pairing, i.e. permitting non-standard base-pairing at the 3rd anti-codon position. The record is from Rfam by way of RNAcentral. Lineage: Eukaryota; Metazoa; Chordata; Mammalia; Primates; Galagidae.
GCGCGUGUGGCUCAAAAGGCUAGGGCACUGGUCCCAUACGCCAGAGGUAGCGGGUUUAAACCCAGCCAUGGCCA